UCAUCAUAGGGAAGUUCUUUAUACUUCACAAAAUACUCUUUCUCAUUCUCAUCUCCCCUGCAAGCAAGGAUCCGGUCAACAGUAGUCCACUCGGGCCGAAUAGCAACAAAGUCAUCCUCAGAGUUAUUGUUUGAUUCCAUUUGACGAUGGAAGUUGUUGACUUUAGUCCUCAGACGAGGAUUUGACUUGAAAGCCUUUAAGAACUCUUUCUCUAGUACCCAAGUGCAGUGCAGAUAAGAUAAUCCCUUCCACUUCACAAGAUACUGUUUCACAAAAAUUUGCUUCG
Molecule: unclassified non-coding RNA, 286 nt
Filed under: Hevea brasiliensis (rubber tree)
Lineage: Eukaryota; Viridiplantae; Streptophyta; Magnoliopsida; Malpighiales; Euphorbiaceae
Source: RNAcentral